This 253-nucleotide ribosomal RNA is filed under the name uncultured bacterium. Its description in RNAcentral is "partial 16S ribosomal RNA". It matches the Rfam family "Bacterial small subunit ribosomal RNA", at positions 524 to 776 of the family's 1533-position model. The record is from RNAcentral.
UACGAAGGGGGCUAGCGUUGCUCGGAAUCACUGGGCGUAAAGCGCACGUAGGCGGAUUGUUAAGUCAGGGGUGAAAUCCUGGAGCUCAACUCCAGAACUGCCUUUGAUACUGGCGAUCUUGAGUCCGGGAGAGGUGAGUGGAACUGCGAGUGUAGAGGUGAAAUUCGUAGAUAUUCGCAAGAACACCAGUGGCGAAGGCGGCUCACUGGCCCGGUACUGACGCUGAGGUGCGAAAGCGUGGGUAGCAAACAGG